CACCAGCCCCUCGAGUGGUGGGGACUAUUAUUUGGCCUAAAGCGUCCGUAGCUGGCUGAAGCCGUCACCCGUUAAAUCCAGUGCCUCAAACAUUGGACUGCGGGUGAUACCCUUCAGCUUGAGGGUGGGAUAGGUAAGCGGUAUUUCCGGGGUAGGGGCGAAAUCCUUUGAUCCCGGGAGGACCACCAGUGGCGAAGGCUGCUUACUAGAACACGCCUGACGGUCAGGGACGAAAGCUGGGGUAGCGAACCGGAUUAGAUACCCGGGUAGUCCCAGCUGUAAACGAUGCACGCUAGGUGUUGGGUCGGCCACGCGCCGCCCCAGUGCCGCAGGGAAGCCGUUAAGCGUGCCGCCUGGGGAGUACGGCCGCAAGGCUGAAACUUAAAGGAAUUGGCGGGGGAGCACCACCAGGCGUGAAGCUUGCGGUUUAAUUGGAUUCAACGCCGGA
Molecule: ribosomal RNA, 448 nt
Filed under: uncultured archaeon
Lineage: Archaea
Description: bacterial SSU rRNA
Rfam family: Archaeal small subunit ribosomal RNA
Source: RNAcentral